CGAGCUGGGUUCAGAACGUCGUGAGACAGUUCGGUCCCUAUCUGCCGUGGGCGUUCGAGAUUUGAGAGGAGUUGACCUUAGUACGAGAGGACCGGGUUGAACGUAUCUCUGGUGUUCCGGUUGUCACGCCAGUGGCAUCGCCGGGUAGCUAAAUACGGACGGGAUAACCGCUGAAAGCAUCUAAGCGGGAAGCCCACCUCAAGAUGAGAUCUCGCGCAGAUUAAUCUGCCUUAAGAGCCCUUGUAGACCACAAGGUUGAUAGGCGCGGUGUGGAAGUGCAGCGAUGCAUGGAGCUAACGCGUACUAAUUGCUCGUGUGGCUUGACCAU
This 328-nucleotide ribosomal RNA is filed under the name Nevskia sp. RNAcentral's name for it is "partial 23S ribosomal RNA". It matches the Rfam family "Bacterial large subunit ribosomal RNA", at positions 2601 to 2925 of the family's 2925-position model. The record is from RNAcentral. Lineage: Bacteria; Pseudomonadati; Pseudomonadota; Gammaproteobacteria; Nevskiales; Nevskiaceae.